RNAcentral lists this ribosomal RNA (1808 nucleotides) under Listeria monocytogenes. Its description in RNAcentral is "partial 23S ribosomal RNA". It matches the Rfam family "Bacterial large subunit ribosomal RNA", at positions 1120 to 2925 of the family's 2925-position model. Lineage: Bacteria; Bacillati; Bacillota; Bacilli; Caryophanales; Listeriaceae. The record is from RNAcentral.
CAUUGAAAGAGUGCGUAAUAGCUCACUGGUCGAGUGACCCCGCGCCGAAAAUGUACCGGGGCUAAACAUAUUACCGAAACUGUGGAUGAACCUCUUUAGAGGUUCGUGGUAGGAGAGCGUUCUAAGGGCGGUGAAGUCAGACCGGAAGGACUGGUGGAGCGCUUAGAAGUGAGAAUGCCGGUAUGAGUAGCGAAAGAAGGGUGAGAAUCCCUUCCACCGAAUAUCUAAGGUUUCCUGAGGAAGGCUCGUCCGCUCAGGGUUAGUCGGGACCUAAGCCGAGGCCGAUAGGCGUAGGCGAUGGACAACAGGUAGAGAUUCCUGUACCAGUGCUAAUUGUUUAACCGAUGGGGUGACACAGAAGGAUAGGGAAUCGCACGAAUGGAAAUGUGCGUCCAAGCAGUGAGUGUGAGAAGUAGGCAAAUCCGCUUCUCGCGAAGCAUGAGCUGUGAUGGGGAAGGAAAUUAAGUACGGAAGUUCCUGAUUUCACGCUGUCAAGAAAAGCCUCUAGGAAGAGUAGUACUGCCCGUACCGCAAACCGACACAGGUAGAUGAGGAGAGAAUCCUAAGGUGAGCGAGAGAACUCUCGUUAAGGAACUCGGCAAAAUGACCCCGUAACUUCGGGAGAAGGGGUGCUCUAUUAGGGUGCAAGCCCGAGAGAGCCGCAGUGAAUAGGCCCAGGCGACUGUUUAGCAAAAACACAGGUCUCUGCAAAACCGUAAGGUGACGUAUAGGGGCUGACGCCUGCCCGGUGCUGGAAGGUUAAGAGGAGUGCUUAGCUUCGGCGAAGGUACGAAUUGAAGCCCCAGUAAACGGCGGCCGUAACUAUAACGGUCCUAAGGUAGCGAAAUUCCUUGUCGGGUAAGUUCCGACCCGCACGAAAGGCGCAACGAUCUGGGCACUGUCUCAACGAGAGACUCGGUGAAAUUAUAGUACCUGUGAAGAUGCAGGUUACCCGCGACAGGACGGAAAGACCCCGUGGAGCUUUACUGCAACCUGAUAUGGAAUGUUUGUACCGCUUGUACAGGAUAGGUAGGAGCCGAAGAGACGUGUGCGCUAGCAUACGAGGAGGCAAUGGUGGGAUACUACCCUGGCUGUAUGACCAUUCUAACCCGCCACGCUUAGCGCGUGGGGAGACAGUGUCAGGUGGGCAGUUUGACUGGGGCGGUCGCCUCCUAAAGAGUAACGGAGGCGCCCAAAGGUUCCCUCAGAAUGGAUGGAAAUCAUUCGCAGAGUGUAAAGGCACAAGGGAGCUUGACUGCGAGACUGACAAGUCGAGCAGGGACGAAAGUCGGGCUUAGUGAUCCGGUGGUUCCGCAUGGAAGGGCCAUCGCUCAACGGAUAAAAGCUACCCCGGGGAUAACAGGCUUAUCUCCCCCAAGAGUCCACAUCGACGGGGAGGUUUGGCACCUCGAUGUCGGCUCGUCGCAUCCUGGGGCUGUAGUCGGUCCCAAGGGUUGGGCUGUUCGCCCAUUAAAGCGGCACGCGAGCUGGGUUCAGAACGUCGUGAGACAGUUCGGUCCCUAUCCGUCGCGGGCGCAGGAAAUUUGAGAGGAGCUGUCCUUAGUACGAGAGGACCGGGAUGGACACACCGCUGGUGUACCAGUUGUUCCGCCAGGAGCAUCGCUGGGUAGCUAUGUGUGGCAGGGAUAAACGCUGAAAGCAUCUAAGCGUGAAGCCCCCCUCAAGAUGAGAUUUCCCAUUUCUUCGGAAAGUAAGAUCCCUGAAAGAUGAUCAGGUAGAUAGGUUUGGAGUGGAAGUGUAGCGAUACAUGGAGCGGACAAAUACUAAUCGAUCGAGGACUUAACCAA